Molecule: ribosomal RNA, 315 nt
Filed under: Triticum aestivum (bread wheat)
Lineage: Eukaryota; Viridiplantae; Streptophyta; Magnoliopsida; Poales; Poaceae
Description: partial small subunit ribosomal RNA
Source: RNAcentral
AUGUUUCCGUUCAAGUUUAAGAGAAAACAAUUUCCUAUAAGGCUUAGCUUUGCUAUGACCAUUAACAAGGCUCAAGGGCAGACCAUCCCGAUUGUUGGUGUCUACCUACCCAAUCCCGUGUUCUCACAUGGUCAGCUCUAUGUUGCUUUGUCUCGAGCCACCGCGAAGAGAAACAUAAAGAUACUCAUUCAGAAGGAGAAGCCGAAGGAGAAGACCAACAAGCAUAAGGACAAUCCAAAAAAGCGUAAAAGAACUAGCGUGUCCUUACUGACCUCGAUGAAGAACAUCGUCUACAAGGAAGUCCUUACAGGUUGA